This 2882-nucleotide long non-coding RNA is filed under the name Sus scrofa (pig). RNAcentral describes it as "lncRNA (ENSSSCG00055009217.1)". Lineage: Eukaryota; Metazoa; Chordata; Mammalia; Artiodactyla; Suidae. The record is from RNAcentral.
AUUUCUUGGGCCUCUCCUGCGGCAUAUGGAGUUUCCCAGGCUAGGGGUCAAAUCGGAGCUGUAGCCACUGGCCUACACCACAGCCACAGCAACGUGGGAUCUGAGCCAUGUCUGCGACCUACAUCACAGUUCAUGGCAACGCCGGAUCCUUAACCCACUGAGCAAGGCCAGGGAUCAAACCCGAAAACCUCAUGGUUCCUAGUUGGAUUUGUCAACCACUGAGCCACAACGGGAACUCCAUUGCUUAUCUUCAAUGAAAAACAUUUUUAAAGAUGAAUGAUUUAGUAAAUUAGACGUUAAAAAGUCUUAAAAUUGACAGAACACUGCAAACCAGCUAUAAUGGAAAAAAAUAAAAAUCAUUAUUAAAAAAAUAAAAUGAAGUGACAUCAACAAAUAUAAAUAAAUAAAAUUUAACCCAUCCUGAGAUACUUUAUAGUCAAUACAAUCGAAUCAAUUUCCUUUUUUUUUUAAAUAGCUUCAGAGUAUUUUAAUAUAUGGAUGACUAUGGAUAUGUGCUUGGGUUCUUUCUAAUUUUUUGCUGUAACAUCUUUGAACAGUGAAUUCAGAACCGACAUGGUUAAACUGCAAAGUCAGAUUUGCCCAGAUCUAUGGCCUUUGACCUUUAGCUUCCAACCCUGCCUCAAUUCUUCUUCUGAUGGUCAAGUUCUUUGGCUGCUUGCUCACCGUCACCACAUGCCUCUCGUCUCCUCCAUAAAGAAGGAGGGAGAGCAAUGCAGGAUGGGAGAGAGAUGGUCUGGUUCCAAAUUUUUGAGGUAAAUGCAAGGUUACCUUUUCAGGUCAAAGUGAAAAGUAACACAUUCAAAUGUGCUAAACCAUUGAUAUUUUCAAAAUUUUAACGCAAAGACUUCUCCUGCAUAACCCCCUCCCCCCCCCGCGCUUUUUCCAACAUGCAUUAAUCUAACCACACGCAUAUAAUUCCUUUUGCCUGCUGGGUACCAGUCAUUUACGGUGAAGAAUUACUAACAACCACAGUGCAGGCAGAGAACUCCCUUGUAGAGUAUUGCUUUUUCCUGCCUUUAAAGAUCAAAUUUCCACAAGCACCAGAUAGUUUGAUCCUAACCUGUCUCCAUCUGCAGCUUCAUAUAGAUUUAUAAUUAGAUCCAUCUCCACCAAGGGGCAACGUAACUUGAAAAAAAAAGAUGGUUCAAUGUUUUUGAUAAAAAGGGCUAAAUGGAGAGCCUCCUAGUGAUUCAGAAAAGAUGUCAACUUUCUGGCAUGUAGCAAAAGCCGCGUAAGGAUGUGAACCACACAUUCCAAAUUACUGGCUACAUCUUAAAUGACUGAAUAAUUUCUAACAGAGAAAUUGUCAUUUAAGGUGUUGCAUAUCAGAACGUGCUUAACAAGACCUUAGGGAUAGGUCAAAAUACCAUGAUUGCCCAUCUUUCAUUUCUACAUAUCUUACUGCUGCAUUUUACGUGAGGCACUGCUGGUCUGUACAGAAUGUUUCCGGAAAAUCAAAGUUUAUUAAUGUCCUGCUGAAAUGAAUUACCACGUCUCUUUCACUCCAUUUAAUCCCAGUGUUCAUUCUAGGCCAGGGGACUGUGAUAGUUUGCUAGAAAGGAUAAUAUUUCUGGAAUAAAUGUUCUUUCUAGUCUGAGCUACACGACACCAACAAAACCUGUUGAAAAGAGAAAAUUCAUUCCUACCUGACACCAAAUAACUGUUUUGACUGAUUAUUUUCUCUGAACUGACAGGUUGUUUUGGCAAUGUAGACACAGCUUAGUCAAUUCAGUGCAUGAAUGAUACAUGAGGGGUUCCGUAUUCAAAGCAGAAAAAUUGUACAGUUGUUCACUCAACAUUCAGAGUAGUUAUUUAGCUCAAUGACACCUAUUUUAAAAGUACUGACUAUAUAAAAAGCUUUUUUUCAAUGUAUUAAUCUUACUCACUACAAAAAAUUGGAAAAUAAUGACAAUGGAUGCUUAAUAGGUUUUUAAUAACUGAUGAAGUGACAGACAUAUAAAAAUCUGCAAAAAACAUCAUGAGCUCCCACUUUUAUAAAUCUGUCACAGUCACAGUCACUGUAAAAAAGUUGUAUGCACAAGUGCCCCUUGAAUGAUUAUUUAUAAUCAGAAAGCGGAAACCAUCAAGAUCUACAAUAAGAAAGUAGUUAAAUAAACGAAGGCACAUUUUAUUUCUCCUUCUCUGCAGAGUGCAAGGAUGAGUUCUGAAACCUGAGUUAAUUUCAGGAUACGCACUGCUCUUCAUUACUCCCCACCACCCGCUGGAAGGAGUGGUUUCAGAAGCUGAGUCAAUUCCAAGAUGGUGCAGCACACUGAGAAUGGGCUCCAAACAUGAGGAAGCUGAUUCCUGUCCUCUGUUGAAAUAGUUCUGAUCCGACUGAUUUGUUCUUGGCUCUGUGUGCCAGCGAACGCAGGAAAGUUUUAAUUACCUAGAAAAUAUACUGUCAUUUCCCCUGGGAUAUGGGAAUUGGAGAGUGAUUGUCAAAAACCUUAUGAAGAGAAAUAAGCACCUUGUGAGAUUAAGCACUGUGCCAGCUUGAUUCCAUCGUACUAAUUUACCAGGCCCUGUCUUAUUAAAACGAACAGAUUUCUUGAGGCUUUUUCCUCCUCGUGAUUAUUAUUAGAAAAGCCCAUAAUGGAGUUCCUGAUUUCACGGAAAGUCGUAUUCUUUGCAGUGUUAUUUACCACAGGUGAGGGGGAGGGUGUCUUUUCACGUACGCCAGUGAAACCUUAAUGAAGGGGUCCCUGUGUACGUGUAUUUUCUCUGCAUGGGAGUCGCCUGAAUGUCAGCCCUCAGGACACAUUCUUCCCUCUAAACCUAGGAGUGUAAUUUCCUACAAAACUUCUAUUUUAAAGCCUACACAUAAGGCUUUUAAAAAAUGCCACUCAGAAAGCAACUUG